This is a long non-coding RNA of Hibiscus syriacus, 657 nucleotides long. RefSeq lists it as uncharacterized. The record is from RefSeq and is a predicted model, not a curated record. The transcript has 2 exons. Lineage: Eukaryota; Viridiplantae; Streptophyta; Magnoliopsida; Malvales; Malvaceae.
UCAACUUCAAAGUCCUUGCCUUUUGUGUGACAUCUACCAUGAAAUCAUAUUGGAGUCUGCUAAAUUUGUAGAAUUUGACUGUUGGGUCUAUUAGACUAUUUCUUACUAAAAAUUUUAUCACCUUUGAUUGAUGCUUGGACCAUUUUAAAACCAUUUGAAUCAGUAUGCAAGUGAACACUUCUGCCCCCUAUCCCCCUACAGUGGAGUAGUAGUAGCAUUGCUAGCUUUUCUCUACAACAGCUUGCCAUUCUUAGGACUUGAUUCAUUUAUCUUUAAUUUUCUUAACGAGUGGUUACAUGCAGCAAACGGAAGUCACGUAGGAGUGGAUCUCAUUCAUGCUUUCACUUCUGAGGAAAGAGUUGCGAGAAGGAAACCUGCUGUCCCUCUUGGGGGUUCUUCUUGUACAGUACCCUCAUCCAUUCCGCACCUGAUCCGUUGUUGUCCUCGUUUAUUUUGCCUAUGUUAAUGAUUGUAUUAAUGAUCAGCCUCAGUUUUAUAGCGAACCAAGCACAGCUAAGACAAGUUCAGACGUGAAUAAGACAGAGAGGUAAAAUGUGCAGUCAACUCCUCUUUCAGUCAAGGAUCAGGAAGAGAAGGCAAAAAGAUGUGAAUUUGUUCAAGGCCUGCUGUUAUCCACGUUUCUCGAUGAUGUUUUAU